AUAUUUUAAAACAAUUAUGUUAUUUUAAUAUCUUCAAUAUUAAGCUUUAAACUUAAGCUAUUAAAAUA
This 68-nucleotide transfer RNA is filed under the name Xylobanus sp. UPOL A00053. RNAcentral's name for it is "tRNA-Phe". The record is from RNAcentral. Lineage: Eukaryota; Metazoa; Arthropoda; Insecta; Coleoptera; Lycidae.